Molecule: ribosomal RNA, 256 nt
Filed under: uncultured bacterium
Lineage: Bacteria
Description: partial 16S ribosomal RNA
Rfam family: Bacterial small subunit ribosomal RNA
Source: RNAcentral
UACGAAGGGGGCUAGCGUUGCUCGGAAUUACUGGGCGUAAAGGGCGCGUAGGCGGGUCGUUUAGUUAGAGGUGAAAGCCCAGGGCUCAACCCUGGAAUUGCCUUUAAUACUGGCGGCCUUGAGUAUGGCAGAGGUGUGUGGAACUCCGAGUGUAGAGGUGAAAUUCGUAGAUAUUCGGAAGAAACACCAGUGGCGAAGGCGACACACUGGGCCAUUACUGGACGCUGAGGCGCGAAAAGCGUGGGGAGCAAACAGG